CCCUUAGAUGUUCUGGGCCGCACGCGCGCUACACUGAUGAAUUCAACGAGCUCCUAACCUAGGCCGAAGGGUCCGGGUAAUCUUUGAAAUUUCAUCGUGAUGGGGAUAGAUUAUUGCAAUUAUUAAUCUUCAACGAGGAAUUCCUAGUAAGCGCGAGUCAUCAGCUCGCGUUGAUUACGUCCCUGCCCUUUGUACACACCGCCCGUCGCUCCUACCGAUUGAAUGGUCCGGUGAAAUGUUCGGAUCGCGGCAAAUCGGACGGGUAACCGUCAGGUUCGCUGCGAGAAGUUCAUUAAACCUUAUCAUUUAGAGGAAGGUGAAGUCGUAACA
RNAcentral lists this ribosomal RNA (330 nucleotides) under uncultured eukaryote. RNAcentral describes it as "partial 18S ribosomal RNA". It matches the Rfam family "Eukaryotic small subunit ribosomal RNA", at positions 1470 to 1796 of the family's 1831-position model. The record is from RNAcentral.